UGGGAUGUAGCUCAGUGGCAAAGCGCUUGCCUAGCAAGUGAAACGUCCUGGGUUCGAUCCCCAGUACCAA
RNAcentral lists this transfer RNA (70 nucleotides) under Dipodomys ordii (Ord's kangaroo rat). It matches the Rfam family "tRNA". Rfam says of the family: Transfer RNA (tRNA) molecules are approximately 80 nucleotides in length. The record is from Rfam by way of RNAcentral. Lineage: Eukaryota; Metazoa; Chordata; Mammalia; Rodentia; Heteromyidae.